GCAGAAUUGUCAAAACCGCAUCAUGUUUACCAUUCGCAAAUUUCUUUUUUAAAUAUGCGGUUUUCAAAAAAAAAAAGUAAAUACAAAACCGCGAACGCCAAAAUUGCUGUGUAAAGUAGUGGUUUGUUGUCCAAAUCCGCACCACAUCUCAAACCUAGCGUUUUUAGAAAAAUGAACUUAUUUAUUGAAAUUUAUCUUUUAUACAAUAUAUAUUUACACUGUAUUUAGUGUCUAUUCACAACUUCAUAUAUUUAAAUAAAACCGCAGUUGUACCGUACCGCACUUCAAUUCUGCACGAACCGCAGUUGCAUCGUACUGCACUUUAAUUUCAUACUGUUUUUAUUACCAAAUCCGUUGUCGCCAUUCGAACCCUAUAUAUAUUCUUAACAUAAAACAGAAGUUUUAUUGUAAAGUCUAAACUUCACCGUCAAAACACAGCUACUUAUGUCGGUGACUCUUCUUCUAUCACCCUUACAAGAAAAAAUUACUAAAAAUACUCUCUU
Molecule: long non-coding RNA, 503 nt
Filed under: Brassica napus (rape)
Lineage: Eukaryota; Viridiplantae; Streptophyta; Magnoliopsida; Brassicales; Brassicaceae
Description: long non-coding RNA (BNAP_LNC002669)
Source: RNAcentral